UACGGAGGGGGCGAGCGUUAUUCGGAAUUAUUGGGCGUAAAGGGCGCGUAGGCGGCUUGAUGUGUCAAAGGUGAAAUCCCUCGGCUCAACUGAGGAACUGCCUUUGAAACUGUCUGGCUUGAGGCCGGGAGAGGGUAGCGGAAUUCCCAGUGUAGCGGUGAAAUGCGUAGAUAUUCGCAAGAACACCAGUGGCGAAGGCGGCUCACUGGCCCGGUACUGACGCUGAGGUGCGAAAGCGUGGGGAGCAAACAGG
Molecule: ribosomal RNA, 253 nt
Filed under: uncultured bacterium
Lineage: Bacteria
Description: partial 16S ribosomal RNA
Rfam family: Bacterial small subunit ribosomal RNA
Source: RNAcentral